UGUAGUAGCUCAGUUGGUAGAGUGCUUGCCUCCCAAGCACAAGGCCCUGGGUUCAAUGCCCAGCACUAUAA
RNAcentral lists this transfer RNA (71 nucleotides) under Ictidomys tridecemlineatus (thirteen-lined ground squirrel). RNAcentral describes it as "Spermophilus tridecemlineatus (thirteen-lined ground squirrel) tRNA". It matches the Rfam family "tRNA". Rfam says of the family: Transfer RNA (tRNA) molecules are approximately 80 nucleotides in length. Their secondary structure includes four short double-helical elements and three loops (D, anti-codon, and T loops). The record is from Rfam by way of RNAcentral. Lineage: Eukaryota; Metazoa; Chordata; Mammalia; Rodentia; Sciuridae.